Molecule: non-coding RNA, 27 nt
Filed under: Rattus norvegicus (Norway rat)
Lineage: Eukaryota; Metazoa; Chordata; Mammalia; Rodentia; Muridae
Source: RNAcentral
UUUGUGCACAGGCCCUUUUCUAUGGCC